AUUUUUCUUCUCCAUCCUGUCUCUCGUGAGUAGCAGGUAUAACUCUGGAAACAUGAAUAUGUUUGAAUGAACGUAUGAGUCAACUGGGCUAACAUCAAAAUUAGAAUGACUCUGGAUCUAAAUAGCCACUUAUGUUAAACAUUAGAUAAUUGCUUCUACAUGGAUGGAAACCAAGAUGAAAUGUGUCAAGAAGGAUUUAUUUCAAAAGAGUGCAUUCUUAAAAGAUUUCAAAGCAUCAGAUAACAAACUGAUGCUUCAGGAGGGAAGGAGCUUUAGUUUCAAGUUCUUUGGGGAGUUGCUCCAAGUAUUAACUGCUGGCCAGGGUGUCAUCACCAAGGAUGUGGCUGCAAGAGGGAAGAGGAGAUGGGGAGAUUCAGCGAGACACACAAGCAGAGGCAGGUCCUGUCUGAAGGAGAGGGACAAACUCAGCUUUCUGAUACAAAUGUGUAGCUAACACCUAUGAAGGAUCAAGGAGGAAUGAGCAAUACCAUGCAGAGUUCAGGAGUCAUCUUGAGGCGGAGGUGAGGAAGCUGCAGUGCAAAGAAAAUAGGACAGCAGGUAUUGUGAUGCUCCAGAAGUAAGGAAAGCAUGAAAUACUAAGGUUUCCCAGCAAUGAAAGCAGAUUCCAACAGCAGCAAUUUUGUGCAGUGAUUCCUGCAGAUCUUCUGAUGAAGACCCUUGGAGUGGUACUUUUGAAAUAUUUGGUCAGUAAAAGAGUUAUGAGCAAUUUGAACUACUAAUAAUUAAAAGUAGCACAGUGAGGUUUGCAUGGAAGACUUCUGUUGUUCCUUCUGGAUGCAAGACUGCAAAAUUGUUUUUUUCUCCAGGUACUCUGAUUCUAGCCAAAUAGAAUUCAUUUGACAUUACUAGAAGAGAGA
Molecule: long non-coding RNA, 878 nt
Filed under: Cyanistes caeruleus (blue tit)
Lineage: Eukaryota; Metazoa; Chordata; Aves; Passeriformes; Paridae
Description: lncRNA (ENSCCEG00000024029.1)
Source: RNAcentral